UUAUAUUUCCAGGUCUGAAGGCGCAUCACUGAAAUGUAGACCUCCUCAAGUGUAAUAUUGUGAUUAUACAACAAUGGUUGCCAACAAAAUAAGUGAUCAAUUUGUAUUCGUAUUGUGGAGCAAUUUGCUCUUGAAAUAUAAAAAAU
This is a long non-coding RNA of Etheostoma cragini (Arkansas darter), 146 nucleotides long. RefSeq lists it as uncharacterized. The transcript has 3 exons. The record is from RefSeq and is a predicted model, not a curated record. NCBI's taxonomy places the organism in Eukaryota, Metazoa, Chordata, Actinopteri, Perciformes, Percidae.